Molecule: ribosomal RNA, 468 nt
Filed under: uncultured bacterium
Lineage: Bacteria
Description: partial 16S ribosomal RNA
Rfam family: Bacterial small subunit ribosomal RNA
Source: RNAcentral
GACGAACGCUGGCGGCGUGCUUAACACAUGCGAGUCGAACGGAAAGGCCCUGCUUUUGUGGGGUGCUCGAGUGGCGAACGGGUGAGUAACACGUGAGUAACCUGCACUUGACUUUGGGAUAACUUCAGGAAACUGGGGCUAAUACCGGAUAGGAGCUCCUGCUGCAUGGUGGGGGUUGGUAAGUUUCGGCGGUUGGGGAUGGACUCGCGGCUUAUCAGCUUGUUGGUGGGGUAGUGGCUUACCAAGGCUUUGACGGGUAGCCGGCCUGAGAGGGUGACCGGCCACAUUGGGACUGAGAGACGGCCCAGACUCCUACGGGAGGCAGCAGUGGGGAAUAUUGCACAAUGGGCGGAAGCCUGAUGCAGCAACGCCGCGUGCGGGAUGACGUCCUUCGGGUUGUAAACCGCUUUCGCCUGUGACGAAGCGUUAGUGACGGUAAUUGAUAAAGAAGCACCGGCUAACUACGUG